AAAGCGUGCGCAGGCGGUUUUGUAAGUCUGAUGUGAAAUCCCCGGGCUCAACCUGGGAAUGGCGAUGGAGACUGCAAGGCUAGAGUUUGGCAGAGGGGGGUAGAAUUCCACGUGUAGCAGUGAAAUGCGUAGAUAUGUGGAGGAACACCGAUGGCGAAGGCAGCCCCCUGGGUCAAAACUGACGCUCAUGCACGAAAGCGUGGGGAGCAAACAGGAUUAGAUACCCGAGU
RNAcentral lists this ribosomal RNA (230 nucleotides) under uncultured bacterium. RNAcentral describes it as "partial 16S ribosomal RNA". It matches the Rfam family "Bacterial small subunit ribosomal RNA", at positions 562 to 791 of the family's 1533-position model. The record is from RNAcentral.